RNAcentral lists this transfer RNA (87 nucleotides) under Sphingomonas naphthae. RNAcentral describes it as "tRNA-Tyr". It matches the Rfam family "tRNA". Rfam says of the family: Transfer RNA (tRNA) molecules are approximately 80 nucleotides in length. Their secondary structure includes four short double-helical elements and three loops (D, anti-codon, and T loops). The record is from RNAcentral. Lineage: Bacteria; Pseudomonadati; Pseudomonadota; Alphaproteobacteria; Sphingomonadales; Sphingomonadaceae.
GGGCAGGUGGCCGAGUGGUUAAAGGCAGCAGACUGUAAAUCUGCCCGUGUUAUGCGUACGCUGGUUCGAAUCCAGCCCUGCCCACCA